RNAcentral lists this unclassified non-coding RNA (339 nucleotides) under Hevea brasiliensis (rubber tree). The record is from RNAcentral. Lineage: Eukaryota; Viridiplantae; Streptophyta; Magnoliopsida; Malpighiales; Euphorbiaceae.
CAAAAAAAAAAAGGAUGGGCAUAUUCUUCAUGUUUCCACUGGUAUAUUAGAAAAUUUUGGGAAACAGACCUUUAACAAAUCAGUUUUAGUAAUAGCAACCAAGAAGAAGACACUCUAUAGCAAAAACCAUAUGUUCAAUGAAACUUUAUAAACACCAAUAUUGCAAAUAUUUGUUAUCCCUGGUACAUUAAUAUAACUCUAUGCCAUUAGCCUUACAACAUCUAAGUUCGGAAAUAACACUUGAAACUUGAAAGCAUAUCAUACGGUUCACAUACUACAAGAGAAUUGUUCCUAGAAGAAAAGGCCACCAUGCACAUACUACAAAAGAAUUGUUCCUAG